UGCGCUGUAGUCGUGUAUGCGU
Molecule: unclassified non-coding RNA, 22 nt
Filed under: Chlamydomonas reinhardtii
Lineage: Eukaryota; Viridiplantae; Chlorophyta; Chlorophyceae; Chlamydomonadales; Chlamydomonadaceae
Description: small RNA Cre_3106
Source: RNAcentral